RNAcentral lists this transfer-messenger RNA (418 nucleotides) under Elusimicrobiota bacterium. RNAcentral's name for it is "Elusimicrobia bacterium (hot springs metagenome) transfer-messenger RNA". It matches the Rfam family "transfer-messenger RNA". From Rfam's summary of the family: Bacterial tmRNA, also known as 10Sa RNA or SsrA, is named for its dual tRNA and mRNA-like properties. Its role is to liberate the mRNA from a stalled ribosome. The record is from RNAcentral. Lineage: Bacteria; Pseudomonadati; Elusimicrobiota.
GGGGGUGACCAGGGCUCGACAGGAAUAUUUUCAGAUAAUGACUGCAGGUCGUGGUUGGUCGGAGGCCACGAGCCCGCCUCUGGCGGGCGAGUCCGCCUCUGGCGGGCGAGUCCGCCAGUUUGGUGGACGAAAAAUUCGACCACUUACAAACAGGUGCAAACACCUAUGCAUAUGCAGCCUAAGUUGAAUUAGGCAGCGCGUUGCUGUUUGACUCCUGAUAGAACAGACAACGUUCAAAACUCAGGAUUACUUUUAAGGCGUCUGCUACAACGACCUUAGAAGGAAAACUUAAUCUGUGGCUGGUCUGUAGCGCCCCGUUCAGAGGCAAACUACAGACGAGAACCAUAUCUGGACUAAGCCUGUAGAUGUCUUAUCUGGAUAUUUCUGGACCGGGGUUCGAUUCCCCGCACCUCCACCA